This 573-nucleotide long non-coding RNA is filed under the name Ictidomys tridecemlineatus (thirteen-lined ground squirrel). RNAcentral describes it as "lncRNA (ENSSTOG00000010739.3)". The record is from RNAcentral. Lineage: Eukaryota; Metazoa; Chordata; Mammalia; Rodentia; Sciuridae.
GUUCUUUAGUCACAGAUAAAAUAAUUUUGUUUCCAUUGUUAGGUUAUCAAGAAAAUUGGACAUUAUCUCAAGAUGAAUAUAACAGUGCCAGAGGAUUACAUCAAAGGAUUUAUUCGAGCCAACAAUACUUUCCUUUAUCAACUAGUUUUUGAUCCCAUCAAAAGGAAACUUGUCCCUCUGAAUGCCUACGAAGAUGACAUUGAUCCUGAAACACUAAGUUAUGCUGGACAGUAUGUUGAUGACUCUGUAGCUCUUCAAAUAGCACUUGGAAAUAAAGAUAUAAAUACUUUUGAACAGAUCGACAACUACAAUCCAGACACUGCUAUGUCUGACCUAUCAAGAAGUCAUAGUUGGAACAACAAAACUUGUCAAAAGUCUUCUACUGUUAAUAGCAUCUGGCAUAGGAAUUAUUGCCCUAGACUUGAGUUGGAUAAUGUUUCAGGUGCUACACAAUUGAAGGAAAAUCCAAGUACUGUGGGCAUUAAACAAGUGAUUAGUACUAAAGGAUUAAAUCUUUCAAGGAAAUCAUCCAUGGUGAAAAGACCAAGAAAUGGUAUGUAUUUAGUUUUUCAU